GACGAACGCUGGCGGCGUGCCUAAUACAUGCAAGUCGAGCGAAUGGAUGGGAGCUUGCUCCCUGAAGUUGCGGCGGACGGGUGAGUAACACGUGGGCAACCUGGCCUAUAAGACUGGGAUAACUUCGGGAAACCGGAGCUAAUACCGGAUACGUUCUUUUCUCGCAUGAGAGAAGAUGGAAAGACGGUUUACGCUGUCACUUAUAGAUGGGCCCGCGGCGCAUUAGCUAGUUGGUGAGGUAAUGGCUCACCAAGGCGACGAUGCGUAGCCGACCUGAGAGGGUGAUCGGCCACACUGGGACUGACACGGCCCAGACUCCUACGGGAGGCAGCAGUAGGGAAUCUUCCGCAAUGGACGAAAGUCUGACGGAGCAACGCCGCGUGAACGAAGAAGGCCUUCGGGUCGUAAAGUUCUGUUGUUAGGGAAGAACAAGUACCAGAGUAACUGCUGGUACCUUGACGGUACCUAACCAGAAAGCCACGGCUAACUACGUGCCAGCAGCCGCGGUAAUGUGAAAGCCCACGGCUCAACCGUGGAGGGUCAUUGGAAACUGGGGAACUUGAGUGCAGAAGAGGAAAGUGGAAUUCCAAGUGUAGCGGUGAAAUGCGUAGAGAUUUGGAGGAACACCAGUGGCGAAGGCGACUUUCUGCGUAAACGAUGAGUGCUAAGUGUUAGAGGGUUUCCGCCCUUUAGUGCUGCAGCUAACGCAUUAAGCACUCCGCCUGGGGAGUACGGCCGCAAGGCUGAAACUCAAAGGAAUUGACGGGGGCCCGCACAAGCGGUGGAGCAUGUGGUUUAAUUCGAAGCAACGCGAAGAACCUUACCAGGUCUUGACAUCCUCUGACAACCCUAGAGAUAGGGCGUUCCCCUUCGGGGGACAGAGUGACAGGUGGUGCAUGGUUGUCGUCAGCUCGUGUCGUGAGAUGUUGGGUUAAGUCCCGCAACGAGCGCAACCCUUGAUCUUAGUUGCCAGCAUUCAGUUGGGCACUCUAGUGACUGCCGGUGACAAACCGGAGGAAGGUGGGGAUGACGUCAAAUCAUCAUGCCCCUUAUGACCUGGGCUACACACGUGCUACAAUGGAUGGUACAAAGGGCUGCAAACCUGCGAAGGUAAGCGAAUCCCAUAAAGCCAUUCUCAGUUCGGAUUGCAGGCUGCAACUCGCCUGCAUGAAGCCGGAAUCGCUAGUAAUCGCGGAUCGCAUGCCGCGGUGAAUACGUUCCCGGGCCUUGUACACACCGCCCGUCACACCACGAGAGUUUGUAACACCCGAAGUCGGUGAGGUAACCUUUAUGGAGCCAGCCGCCUAAGGUGGGACAGAUGAUUGGGGUGAAGUCGUAACAAGGUAGCCGUAUCGGAAGG
This 1360-nucleotide ribosomal RNA is filed under the name Peribacillus muralis. Its description in RNAcentral is "bacterial SSU rRNA". It matches the Rfam family "Bacterial small subunit ribosomal RNA". The record is from RNAcentral. Lineage: Bacteria; Bacillati; Bacillota; Bacilli; Caryophanales; Bacillaceae.